AAAACUUGAUAUUGAGUCAGGUUCUUUUUCUUAUUUAGAGGCCCUUCAUAUUGUGAGGCACUAAACUGUAGCUUAAGUAGUUUAAGCCUAAAUCUGACACUGAUACAAGUCAGUAACA
Long non-coding RNA from Gavialis gangeticus (Gharial), 118 nucleotides. RefSeq lists it as uncharacterized. The record is from RefSeq and is a predicted model, not a curated record. NCBI's taxonomy places the organism in Eukaryota, Metazoa, Chordata, Crocodylia, Gavialidae. The transcript has 3 exons.